Molecule: long non-coding RNA, 366 nt
Filed under: Homo sapiens (human)
Lineage: Eukaryota; Metazoa; Chordata; Mammalia; Primates; Hominidae
Description: HSALNT0295644
Source: RNAcentral
ACAGGGGACCAAGCCUACCCCGGGGAUGGAAAAAUCCGGCUGAGACGGCCUGGGCCGCUGCCACGCGCGGGCGUUAUUCUCCACCCACCUGCGGCCUGAAGAUGCCUGAGGCCCGGACUCUCAGACCCCUAUUGCCCUUUGGUGCUGGAGGCCCAGCGGCAGCCUGAAGCCCAAGAGAGUGGAGCCUCGCGAAAUGAGGAACCUGGCACAAGGUGUUCUGGACUUGGAAGAUUUGUUGAAUUACUAUGAAGUCACAUCUAAAGUUUGAAAGAGAUCGGGUCUCACUAUUUUGCCCACGCUGGUCUUGAACUCCUGUCCUCAAGCAGGAUAUCCUCCUGCCUUGGCCUCCCAAAGUUCUGGGAUUAC